Molecule: long non-coding RNA, 716 nt
Organism: Topomyia yanbarensis
Lineage: Eukaryota; Metazoa; Arthropoda; Insecta; Diptera; Culicidae
Exons: 2
Source: RefSeq, a predicted model, not a curated record
UAGCAUAAUUGCAUAUUUGCAGCAAAAAGGUUUUUUGGAGGUGACACGGUAAAGUGUUCGAUUGCAGUAUACCGGUGUACUGGAGUGCUCUGUGUUUGCACUUUCGGGCAGAAGUGGCCAUGAAACAUACAUAUUUGCACUUCUGCUCGAAAGUGCAAAAGUAGUACACGGAACUACACCGGUGCAAAUCAAUCGAAAACCACGCUUCUCAUAAAUAAGAAGCCUAGAUUUGGUUCCUGCAAGAUCGAGAUGGCACUGGGUGCUGCGAAGGCUAUGGAUGAUAAGCAGUGUUGGGAACGAUCAACACAGACUGCCUUCAUGUAAGCAAACUAUAAACGAUGAGUUGUCCUUCCUCUAUUUGUCCUUCCAGUAUCAAGGUGCUCUGCUGUUUGUGUGACGUCAAAGUACGCGUUCCCAUUUUGAAGAACUAUAAUCAAAUAUCGUUGGCUUGUUUAACUGCUAAUACGCAUGGUCUGAAGGAUGAUGCCACUCAGCUGGAUGAGAUUAUUUUUUAGGUCCACCAGUUACGAUUCAGUAAACUAAUAAUAAUGGUGUGCUUCCGAGCCAAACAUAGGGCAUAUUGACAGCAUGGUGCGGACUGACUUCUCGCCAUUUAUCGUAAUAAAACGCACUGCCAGAUUAUAUAAAUUAUAACAAUAAUAAAAAAAUUCCUUUUUUUAUCAGAAGAAACCAAAUAAAUAUCCUGGCAGGAGCUG